GACGAACGCUGGCGGCGUGCCUAACACAUGCAAGUCGAACGGAACUGUUUUGAAAGAUUUCUUCGGAAUGAAUUUGAUUUAGUUUAGUGGCGGACGGGUGAGUAACGCGUGAGUAACCUGCCUUCAAGAGGGGGAUAACAUUCUGAAAAGAAUGCUAAUACCGCAUGAUAUAUCGGAACCACAUGGUUUUGAUAUCAAAGAUUUUAUCGCUUGAAGAUGGACUCGCGUCCGAUUAGUUAGUUGGUGAGGUAACGGCUCACCAAGACCGCGAUCGGUAGCCGGACUGAGAGGUUGAACGGCCACAUUGGGACUGAGACACGGCCCAGACUCCUACGGGAGGCAGCAGUGGGGGAUAUUGCGCAAUGGGGGCAACCCUGACGCAGCAACGCCGCGUGAAGGAUGAAGGUUUUCGGAUUGUAAACUUCUUUUAUUAAGGACGAAACUUGACGGU
This 451-nucleotide ribosomal RNA is filed under the name uncultured bacterium. Its description in RNAcentral is "bacterial SSU rRNA". It matches the Rfam family "Bacterial small subunit ribosomal RNA", at positions 28 to 476 of the family's 1533-position model. The record is from RNAcentral.